RNAcentral lists this long non-coding RNA (294 nucleotides) under Trifolium pratense (red clover). RNAcentral describes it as "long non-coding RNA (TPRA_LNC005470)". The record is from RNAcentral. Lineage: Eukaryota; Viridiplantae; Streptophyta; Magnoliopsida; Fabales; Fabaceae.
ACGGAUUCAUGCCGGUUCGUUUGAAAUUGAAUUAGCGGUAUUGUGUAUUGAAAUGGUAGCCGAUAUGUAAUUGAAUUGACGGAAUCGUGUUGGCUCGUAUGAAAUUGAAUUAAAGGUAUUGUUUCUUGAAAUGGUUGCUGAUAUGUAAUUGAUUUCACUGUAUCGUAUGAAAUUAAAUUGACAGUUUAUGAAAGCUGGUAUGUAAUUGAAUUGACAGUAUUAUGUCUUGAAAUGGUGGCAAGAAAGUAAUGGAAUUGACGGAUUCAUGUCGGCUCAUAUGAAAUUGAAUUAGCG